GCCGGGAUGGCGAAAUCGGUAGACGCAGCGGAUUCAAAAUCCGCCGGUGGCGACACUGUGAGGGUUCGAGUCCCUUUCCCGGCACCA
Molecule: transfer RNA, 87 nt
Filed under: Azoarcus sp.
Lineage: Bacteria; Pseudomonadati; Pseudomonadota; Betaproteobacteria; Rhodocyclales; Zoogloeaceae
Description: tRNA-Leu
Rfam family: tRNA
About the family: Transfer RNA (tRNA) molecules are approximately 80 nucleotides in length. Their secondary structure includes four short double-helical elements and three loops (D, anti-codon, and T loops). Further hydrogen bonds mediate the characteristic L-shaped molecular structure. tRNAs have two regions of fundamental functional importance: the anti-codon, which is responsible for specific mRNA codon recognition, and the 3' end, to which the tRNAs corresponding amino acid is attached (by aminoacyl-tRNA synthetases). tRNAs cope with the degeneracy of the genetic code in two manners: having more than one tRNA (with a specific anti-codon) for a particular amino acid; and 'wobble' base-pairing, i.e. permitting non-standard base-pairing at the 3rd anti-codon position.
Source: RNAcentral